RNA transcript from Panicum virgatum (switchgrass), 2406 nucleotides. It is a transcript of the gene named NAD-capped RNA hydrolase DXO1-like, with no coding region annotated. Lineage: Eukaryota; Viridiplantae; Streptophyta; Magnoliopsida; Poales; Poaceae. The record is from RefSeq and is a predicted model, not a curated record. The transcript is spliced from 13 exons.
GGAUCGACUGCCCGUCGAUCUGGUCCGAUGAACCCUAUUCCAGUCGAGAGGUCUCUUUCCCUCCCUUCCCUGCCGUGUCGGAUCCCCACGACAACCCUUUCUCCGUUCCGCCUCCGACCAGGCCCGAAAGGAAAAGCCUUCCCGGCCGCCCCCGCCCCCGCCCCCGCUCCCGCCGCGCUCGCCAUGGACUUCUCUGAACAGGACGUCGACGUCUUCGGCGAGGACUACGACGUCCAAGACGGUGGCGCUGAGGCUGAGGCCGACGGCGGCGGCGACUCGUCGGGCUCCUCCUCCCCGUCCUCAUCCUCGUCGUCCUCCGCCGCCGCGUCCUCCUCCUCCUCCAGUGGCGGCUCAAGCCGCAGCAGCAGCGACGGCGCUGCCGGAGAGGGCGAGGACGGCGCCGACGAGGGGGAUGCCGAGGAGUACGAUUCGUCCAACCUCGUGGGGACGAGGGCCACCGGCGCCGGUGGCUACCGGGACGACGAGAGGGGGGAGGAUGGGGACGAGGAGGUAGAGGAAGAGAGGGAUUUGUUCGGCUCCGACAACGAGGAUUACGUCAGAACCCCCGCGCGCAGCCAGUACCUAGUCCCAGUGCUUCCUGCAAUUCGGAACACUAAUAAUCAUUCUCGAGGAGGCUUUGGAGGACGAGGUGGCAGAGGUCCACCACUUCUUCCAAGACCAGGAGGUCAUCCAGGGCGACAUAACUUUGGCUAUGGUAGAUUCGGGAAUGGGCGUAAUGUCGAAGGUUUGGUUUCAGACCUGAAGCUUAAUAAAAGCGAAGAAACAUUGUCUAGAAAAGCUGUUGCUUUUCAGGAGCCUUCCGAGAUCGGAUGCUUAAGCCGCGUUGAGGGUGGAGGUGUGUUCUUUGAUGAUCGCAGCUUGAGGCUCUUCAAACGUGAAAUUUGUGACUAUGUCGGUGCAGAUCUCAAUAAAGGAUUCGAGUCAUUUAUAGAGAAGAAAGAUUUGGGUUCUGAAGGAUUUGGCGAUCUUCUCGCAUGCAUAAGAAGUAGGCCCAUAAUUCUUCAGAAUAAUAUACAUUUUGUGACAUACCGCAAUAAUCUUAACAAGAUAUUGGCCACUGCUUACCUAAGAGAACCAUGGAAGAUGGGCGUUCACAAAAGAAUGGGUGUUGUAUACCUUGAUGUUCAUAAGCUCCCUGAAAGACCAAAAAGUGAGAUGGAGCGUAGGAGAUGUUAUUGGGGCUAUUCUUUUGAGAAUCUUGCCACUGAGAACUCCUUCAAUGAGGAUGGGGGAGGUAUUGAUGCAAAUGUAGAGUAUUGUUCUGUAAUAAAGACAAAAUUGGGUGCCCAUCGCAUUAUUAUGGGUGCCGAGAUGGAUUGCUGUGAUGCAACUGAUGAUGGCAGGCGGUUCUAUGUGGAGUUGAAAACAAGCAGAGAGCUGGAGUACCAUACAGUGGAAGCAUAUGAGAAAGAAAAGCUACUUAGGUUUUGGAUUCAAUCAUUCCUGGCUGGUGUUCCUUAUGUUGUUGUUGGGUUCAGGUAUUAUUCACCUUUUAUCAUGUUUUCCUCUAUAUUAUAACGAGAUUCUGCCAUUCUGGUCUACUGAGCUUUGUCACUUGCCAUUGUGCAAUUCAAUCUGACUGCUGAAGUUAAAUCUUGUUGAUAUGAUUAUAAAGCAAAAUCUGUUGCUAACGGUUGCAUUGGGUCUUGAUGGCUCUACUCUUAUAGGAAUGAUGCUGGCAUACUCGUGCGAACAGAAAGACUAAGAACCAAAGAUAUUACACAAAAGGUGAAGGCAAAGAACUACUGGCAGGGUGGUGUUUGCCUGGCCUUUGCUGAUGAGGUCUUAUGCUGGCUGUAUGGGACUGUCAAAGAGAAUGAAGACUAUGUUCUGCAAUUUGUACAUCCAUGUAAUCGCUUGGAACUUCUACGAGCCCAGUCUCCCUGCCCUGAAGCCCUAACUUUGCAUGUGCAGCAGCUUUCAGGUGCAGCAGACUAGAUUAUAUUAUUAUAGCCUUGACUUUUGAGGUGACAACUGCCUUGGAGAAAGUUCCAUGGGGCUCCAAUUCUAUCAGCUGAGCCAGAAUUGUGGAGCUGACAACUUAGUCUAACCCAAUCACCAAGGGAGAUGAGCUGAUGCAUCAAGAGCUAAUGGCAUCGGUCACCGGGAGCAGCUAUAUCCAUGGUGCACUCUCUGAGUGGCCAAAGAGAUUUUGAACCCAUCAAAGAUUGUAUUUUGAUUGUAACAUUAUGUUAUAAAAACUACACAUACGAAGAGCUAUAACACUAUGCUGCUGGUUCGAGCGAUCAAUCAUGUAAACUGUACCAUUGAUGAGAUGAAUGUUGAACAGCCAAGUAGCCAUAGUUGUUGCAAGUUACAUGUAAACAGAACCUUUUCGCACACUAGACUUGAAAUAACAAAUUUUCAUUAGGCGGUUGGAAUGGU